This 1525-nucleotide long non-coding RNA is filed under the name Homo sapiens (human). RNAcentral's name for it is "HSALNT0317871". The record is from RNAcentral. Lineage: Eukaryota; Metazoa; Chordata; Mammalia; Primates; Hominidae.
GGGGUGGCACUGUCCUUCAGCCCCAGACAGGGCAGGGGUGGCACUGUCCUUCAGCCCCAGACAGGGAAGGGGUGGCACUGUCCUUCAGCCCCAGACAGGGCAGGGGUGGCACUGUACUUCAGCCCCAGACAGGGCAGGGGUGGCACUGUCCUUCAGCCCCAGACAGGGCAGGGGUGGCACUGUACUUCAGCCCCAGACAGGGCAGGGGUGGGACCGUACUUCAGCCCCAGUAUGAUCCCAUGACAGUUGGUUUGCGGACGCUGGACACAACGCAAACAUUGAAGGAUGUGGCCAAAUGCAGCGGGGUUGGGGGGAUAGGGAAUACCUCGGGCACAGACCAGUGUCCCUGGGCCCAGGACAAGGCCAGAGGCACCCAGUGAGCCCCAGGCCUCUCACUCUCAGCCUGCCCUUCAGAAACACUUUCAUGAAAAAUACAGUGCAUCCUAUUGGUCAUUUUCACUUAUCUUGGGGUGGAAACAUCUGUCAAAGGUGAAAGGACAGAAGAGUGGGACUUCUUUUUCCAACUAUGUCUAGAAAAAUACAGGCUGGUCCAGUAGCUCCCUGCUUCCUGUCACUGAAACCGGCAGGCACAAAACAGGACAGUACAGGCAGAGAGCAGGGAACAGAAACAGGCUUGUGACAUCACAGGGUUUCUGCUGUGAAGGCUGCAGGCCAGGAACUCAGAAGAGGAAACUCUCAGAGCUCAUAAGUGUUUCUAAACACCAUAUUCUGACCCAUUUCCACAGAAACAAAAGCUACAAAGAGAACUGUCCUGCACAACUGCUUUCACUAAAUCAGGAACCCGGGACAGAGUACUGGUCUGUUGCCCAGGCUGGAGUGCAGUGGUGCAAUCAUGGCUCACUGCAGCCUCAACCUCCUGAGCUCAGGUAAGCCUCCUGCCUCAGCCUCCUAAAAUGUUAUAGAUUACAGGUGUUAGCCACCACACCCAGACCCUUGAAUCCCUUCACUUAUCUGAGGAGGAAACAGAAGCACAGACCAAUGUGACCUGCUAGGAAGUGGCCGAGCUGUCUGCCUGCACACGGGGCUCCCACCCAGAACUGGCCACAGGGACAGGGACACUCAGGGAGCCCCCCAAGAGCUGGCCCCAGGGACACUCACGGCCACGCCUGCGGCCCCCCAUACCAUGGCCCUUCAUGGCGUCUACUUCCUCCUGAGCAUUUCAGCUGACUCCACUCUGUCCUCACCCCCCUUUUUGUGUCUCACGGUCCUUGCUUAAGUCCAAGUCACGCCCUCUCACUGUCUCUUACACACAUCUCUAUCGCUACAUGUGAGGUCUCUUAACUACUUUCUGGAAUACAGAACAUAAAUAAAAACAAAACUAAUGCUUCCUCUGCUUGCGGGACCUAGGAAUAAAACAGAUAAAAACAAUGAACAUUAAAUUUUUUUUUAAAAAAAAGGAAAACUUCCUUUCAUUUAAAAAGUGCACUGAGCUUUUCUCCUGGGUGUGUCAAGCGCCAAAGUCUGAGGACAGAAACGGACAGAGGCCAGGCGGCGGGGGCGCGAG